RNAcentral lists this transfer RNA (72 nucleotides) under Marmota marmota marmota (Alpine marmot). It matches the Rfam family "tRNA". Rfam says of the family: Transfer RNA (tRNA) molecules are approximately 80 nucleotides in length. RNAcentral also lists the same sequence under 3 other names. The record is from Rfam by way of RNAcentral. Lineage: Eukaryota; Metazoa; Chordata; Mammalia; Rodentia; Sciuridae.
UGGAGUGUGGCUCAGUGUUAGAGUGCUUGUCUAUCAUGCAGGCAGCUCUGGAUACCAUCCCCAGCACUCCCC